AGUAAAAACGAUUCGGAAGCGGCGAAGCCACAGAGUCUCCCCCCCCUCUCUCUCUCUGCGCGUGUCUGUGUGUGUGCCUGCGUUCUGCCGCCACCGCCGCCCUCUCUGUUACCCCCCCGACCACCUCCAUCACCGCCAUCAGCGGAUCUACAAGAAGAGCGCAUUCUCGCAAGCCUCCCUCACUUCCUGCUGGCCGACUGGCGUCUGUGCUACCAACACAGAGAUGGGCACCAAGGGCUCAAAGGCGGUGUCCUCGUCAUCGGCAGUGCCGGCUGCCGUGACCACCACUGGCGACAACAAAGGCACGAGCAACUGGUGGGAUGGCGCGGUGAGUGAUGCUAGCGACGCCGACCUCGGCCUCACGCCAGACGUCUCGCUCAGCUCAGAUAUUAGCACGCCAGAGGAGAACGCGGCGAAGCGCAAGGCCUACGCGCACCUGAAAUCGCCAUAUGCGAGGCACCGACCAGCAGCAUCGAUGAAGGGGCUUGGCAGCAGCGGCAACAACGGGGCGGAGGCAUCCGCCAACGCACACGUAAACCUCAUCGAGCAGAUCUACAACGAAGACUUCGAGACUAUCGACCACAUCCAGGCACUGCGCCUGCCGCCCAUGGUGGCGCGGCAGCUGCAGAACACUGUGCGAGACGAGGCGGAGAGGCACUGCGCGGAGGUGGAGAAGACAAUGGCACGCUGCCUGCAGGACAAGAUGUGGACCUCGUGGAAGUGCCAGAAGGAGCGCGACACGUACUACCACUGCGUCGAGGAGAUCGAGCAGCGCAAUCUGCGGCCGGACCCGACGAACCCGCACUGGGUCGACAUGCUCACAUCCUUCCGUUGGAAGUAUAACCUUGGCGUCUUCCAUGGCGAAAUUAUGGGGCGCAACAACAUUAUGAAGGAGAUUUGGCGUGAGCACUACCCAGAUCGCGAGUUGCCGCAUCCUUGGGUAAAGGACACAUAAGCCGUGUAAGCGCAUGUGCUGCGCGUCCCCAUCCCCUCCCGCGUCGUCGUUGUUGUGGCCAGCCAGAGAGGAGGGCGAGGGGGCGCGCCCCUCUCUGUCUUGCGCCUCAUGUCAGUGCUGUUCCUCGCGUGUUUUGCGCUUGCGUUGUGGCGUGUGCUCUGUUCUCUGUUCGACGUCCGUAACACGUCCCACCUGUUCACAUCCGCACUCUUCGCCGGUGUGCUCUGGC
This 1184-nucleotide unclassified non-coding RNA is filed under the name Leishmania donovani. RNAcentral describes it as "gene:LdHU3.06.0820(CDS-product:hypothetical_prote in_conserved)". Lineage: Eukaryota; Euglenozoa; Kinetoplastea; Trypanosomatida; Trypanosomatidae. The record is from RNAcentral.